CACAGAUCUUAGAGUACGUCAGUGCUCCACUGAGACCACCUUACUCCGUGUACUCCGUGUACUUUCAUUUAAUCGUGAGGCACACAAAUGAUAUCUGCACACCAAUGUGAUGUCGGAGAGCAUAAGAGGUGCUCAGAACCGUGAUGAUGCUGAUAAUGACAGAUAGGAUCCUGGACUGAGGGGCUACCAAGGCCAAUCACUGCUGUUGGAUGAGAACCGAUGGGCUGUCUAACCUGGCAACAGCAUGCCAACUGCAAAAGGUAAAGGUGGCUCAACGUCCCACCGUUACCGGCCGGCCUCGGAGUACGAUGAUGCCACGCUCGCCCUAAAGCGAGAGUACUGGAGAAACAAGAAGCGAGAGCAGCGGGCCCGUCUGUCAGAGGAGAGGGAAAGGCACAAACACAACAACAGCAGCCGGG
This is a long non-coding RNA of Oreochromis aureus, 419 nucleotides long. The record is from Ensembl. Lineage: Eukaryota; Metazoa; Chordata; Actinopteri; Cichliformes; Cichlidae.